AGGCGCUAUGUACAGCUAAAUCACGCUGAAUGAUUGGGGUUGUCUGUAAAAUGUAUAACUCAUAUAAUUCUGCAUAAAUUUGUGGUUGUAAUAGAUCGUAUUUCUGACCUAAUGGCCAGUCUCAAAACACGAUUUUACGAACUUUCCUCGAUCGAAAAUAAUUGCAAAAUUGCCUCUGAAAAUACUUAAAACUCUUAAUAUCUCAGUUAUACCUAAAGUAAUUUCGCUACAAAAUAUUAUAAUUAUUUGUCAUCUGUUACUAAAGAAAUUGGCCAAACGAUAUUUUAAAUACAAAGAAUAUUACAUUUAAAAAAAAAUAUUUAUUCAUUUGGCACUUAGGUCCUUGUAUUCUGAAUCGCGUCUUCUCUGUUACUCGUAUUCCAUUAGACAGUGAGCGUUGAAUCGCGCUGCUAGACGGAUGUGCGCUAAGUUGUGCUCUCGGACGUAUAAUAUUUUAUUCAGGAAAAAUUGUUUUAGUUUUAUAAGUUUGAGACAUUCGUGUAGCAUAAGUUUUAUAGACAUAAUUAUAGUGUUAAUAAUAAUUAAAUAUAAGUAAUAAAUUGAUAUUAUAGUAUAAAUUAUUUAAAAUGCGCCCGAAAUUGAAGAAUAUACAAUAUAAAAAACAACAAAAGCAUAUGCUCGAAGUUGUUCGGAAAAGACUUUUGAAGAUUAAUUCUGAAAAUUCAUCAAUUCGACCAGUUUUGCAAGAAAUACAGAAUUCUCAGCACGAAUGCCCUGCAAAAUCGCUGACAAUACCAACAGCUGAACCAACACCAAUCUCAAUAGAUACAGGAGCUAUGCAGAAACCAAAUUAUGAUGAGUAAACGGUUUAUUAAAUACUACACGGCAAAAGUUGUUUUGCCUUGCCGGCAUUAAAAAAUAGGGAUGGUUUGAUAAACAAAAUUUAGGGUUACUUUACUUCUACCUAUUCUUCUACUAAAGUUAUUUCAAAUAUAACAAUAAGUAGUGAGAUAUUUUUCAUAAAUCUUAGAACACAUAACUAUUUAUAUUUUUUCACAUAACUAAUUUAGCUGAAAGUCGAUGUAAUUUUACUAUGUUUUAGAGAAGUUGCCGAGGAGCAGUUAUACACUAAGAUCGAUCGAGGUACAUAUGAACCAGUGCAAGGUCGAAGAAUCAUAAAUAUUAUGCAUUUCACUUAAAUAAUAUAGCAGCAAUUGCCCAUGGUAUGAAAAAUGAACACAUUGCCAUUAAACAACUUACAUUACAAGAUUAAGUCGUUAUUGACCCUUGUGGUCUAUUCGUGGACCAUGACUAUCCUUUUAUUGGAGCUACACCCGAUAGAUUAAUAGGAGAUGACACAAUUGUGGAAAUAAAAUGUCCGAUAGUGACCUUCAAGAAUGGGCUUAAAGAAUCCAUUCAACAAAAUAAGAUACAAAUAUGGAAUUACAAUAAGAAAACUAAACGUAUAAAUAAGAAUACUAACUGGUAUUAUCAGAUACAAGGGCAGUUACACGUUUCACGAAGAGCAAAGUGUUUAUUUGGAGUAUGGAGUGGUGAAAAUAAGCCUCUCAAAACAGAAACGAUCUUAAGGGAGAAAAAAAUGAAAGAAAUACUUCUCAAUUUUUAUAUGGAUUGGCUAUUGCCAGAAUUGGUUGAUUUACGAAGAGCGCGAGGUAUGCCAAGAGAAGAAAAUCCUCCUCCUCCUAAUUCACUCUGUGAUAAAAAAGAAAAUUACCUUUGUAACAGCAGACUGCUUAGUUUUAACGAAUUAUAAUACUACUGGAAAGCGUAAUAAUGGAGGAGAGAUAUAAUUGAAUGUAUUGUAUUUAUCUUUAUUUAUUAAUUGUAUUAUUUCAUAAGUCUCAUGACAUUUAUAUGCCAUUUUUAUUUUAGAUCGGUCGAAGAAAAGGUAGAAUAUGCAUUGGCGUUUUAUAUAGAGUUAGCACAGGAAGUGGAUAUUGUGUGUCUAUUGUGAAUAUCAACAUGUAUAAAAUGUCGACAAUAAUUACUUCCAAUAUAUCUCAGUUAUAUUUAUUCUACUGUACUUUGUACAAUUUCGAAAAAGAACACUAGAUAUUAGAUAUAGAAAUGAUUUAGAAAUUAUUUAGAUAUAAAAAUGAUCAUUAGAAAUAAGAUAUAAAAAUGUUGAUUCUUUGUAGAUUGAAGAUAAGUAAUAGGUCAAUUUAAAGGCUUAUUGAUGCAUAUUAACCAAAUAUAAAGACCGAUCAAUUUAAAUUAUAUAUGUUUUUAAUUUUUACAUACCCCUUUAAAAUAACUAUAAUAUUGAGAACCAUUUUUUCGUAGGCAAUUAAUUAACUGGUUUUUUUUUCAAUAAAAAAAUAACAUCAUAAUAUGUUCUACCUGCUGAUCAGUAUGAAGGCGGCGCUUAGCCGGUGUUGUCUUAAUUUAAGCCAUUUCUGACAGGACCACAUGAAACAACACUGUCUGCAAAAUCUAAAUCUAUACGAUAUUCUCACAUGGCUUAAAUUAAUACAUCACCGGCUUAGCAUCGCCUUCAUACUAAUCAGCAAGUUGAACAUAUUAUGAUGUUAUUUUUCGCUUUUUAGUUUAGUGGGUAAGUUUUUAGGUUUUGAAGUCGGUUGUAUUUUUUUUUUAUUAAAAUUUUUAUUAUUUUUCCAUUUUUAGUGUAAAAUUUCAUCUCAAACUAAUACAUCAGACCCCUAAUGACAGUCACAACCCAUCUUGGUACAAAAUUCUCAGCAAUACAAAUUAAUCAAGCCCAAGCACAAGGUAGCUACCGUAAACCGUUAAGGGGUUCCCUUAAUUGACCUUGGUCUUCAUCAACAGACCCCUAAUAACAGACACAACUCAUCUAGGUAGAAAGUUCUCAGCAAUACGAAUUAAUCAAGGCCAAACACAAGGUAGUUACUGUAAACUGUUAAGGAGUUCCCUUAAUUGUCCUUGGUAUUCAUCACCAAACCCCUAUUGUGGAAAGUUCUCAUUAAUACAAAUUAAUCAAGCCCAAACACUGCUGUAAAUCGCCGAAGAGUUCCCUCGUCUUUUUUAUGGCUCCAUCAUCAGAUCGAUUUUAAACCUUCAUGAAAUUUUAGUGUUUAAAAGUACUAAAUAGAAAAGCUUACGAACACACUAGACACCCAUAUAAUUUUCGAAAGUUCCUCUCAAUUUCUCCAGGAUUCCAUCAUCAGAUCUUGACAUGAUGGCAAUGGGACCAAAUGGGGACUAUACCGUUUCAAACAAAAAAAGAAUUUUUGAAAUAGGUCCAGGCGUCUUUGAGUAAUCGGUGUACGUAAGAACCUCCUCCUUUUUGAAGUCGGUUAAAAAACUAAAUCAAUACAUCAAAAGGCCAAAGAGCAAGAACCAAUAUUUAUGUAUACAUCAUUAUAAAUGUUAAAUAUAUUUGUGUAAAAAGUU
Long non-coding RNA from Bicyclus anynana (squinting bush brown), 3354 nucleotides. RefSeq lists it as uncharacterized. The record is from RefSeq and is a predicted model, not a curated record. Lineage: Eukaryota; Metazoa; Arthropoda; Insecta; Lepidoptera; Nymphalidae. The transcript is spliced from 3 exons.